GCGAACGCUGGCGGCAGGCCUAACACAUGCAAGUCGAACGAACUCUUCGGAGUUAGUGGCGGACGGGUGAGUAACACGUGGGAACGUGCCUUUUGGUUCGGAAUAGCUCAGGGAAACUUGUGCUAAUACCGAAUGUGCCCUUCGGGGGAAAGAUUUAUCGCCAUUAGAGCGGCCCGCGUCUGAUUAGCUAGUUGGUGAGGUAACGGCUCACCAAGGCGACGAUCAGUAGCUGGUCUGAGAGGAUGACCAGCCACACUGGGACUGAGACACGGCCCAGACUCCUACGGGAGGCAGCAGUGGGGAAUCUUGCGCAAUGGGCGAAAGCCUGACGCAGCCAUGCCGCGUGAAUGAUGAAGGUCUUAGGAUUGUAAAAUUCUUUCACCGGGGACGAUAAUGACGGUACCCGGAGAAGAAGCCCCGGCUAACUUCGUG
RNAcentral lists this ribosomal RNA (432 nucleotides) under uncultured bacterium. RNAcentral's name for it is "partial 16S ribosomal RNA". It matches the Rfam family "Bacterial small subunit ribosomal RNA", at positions 29 to 507 of the family's 1533-position model. The record is from RNAcentral.